CUUGCUGUUGUCGUCUUCGGGCACAUUAGGAAGUCUUCUCACAGUCACAUGGCAUAUGUGCUUUGUAUUUCAGGGACAGCUGAUAUUCCAGGAUGUGACCAUAGAUUUUACUGAAGAGGAGUGACUGGACCUCCGUCAAGGGGCAUUGUAUAGGGAUGUGAUGUUAGAGAAGUAUAGGAACUUGGCCACUUUGGGUCUUGUGGUUUCUCAGCCAAACCUUGUCGCUUUUCUGGAGAAAAUGAAGGAGCCCAGGAGUAUAAGGAGAACGAAGACAGUGGCCGUAUACCCAGGGAUUGGAAUGAAAACUGACCUUUUCCAGUCCUGUGGCCACUGCUGAGCUUUCCAAAUUUGCUGGCAUAUUGAGUGCAGCACUUUCACAGCGUCAUCUUCCAGAAGAUGUAUUCCCAAAA
Long non-coding RNA from Cervus elaphus (red deer), 410 nucleotides. RefSeq lists it as uncharacterized. The record is from RefSeq and is a predicted model, not a curated record. The transcript is spliced from 3 exons. Lineage: Eukaryota; Metazoa; Chordata; Mammalia; Artiodactyla; Cervidae.